Molecule: ribosomal RNA, 740 nt
Filed under: uncultured bacterium
Lineage: Bacteria
Description: bacterial SSU rRNA
Rfam family: Bacterial small subunit ribosomal RNA
Source: RNAcentral
AGAGUUUGAUCCUGGCUCAGAACGAACGCUGGCGGCAGGCCUAACACAUGCAAGUCGAACGCUCCGCAAGGGGAGUGGCAGACGGGUGAGUAACACGUGGGAAUCUUCCUAUUGGUAUGGAAUAGCUCAGGGAAAUUUGGGGUAAUACCGUAUAAGCCCGAGAGGGGAAAGAUUUAUCGCCAAUAGAUGAGCCCGCGUCUGAUUAGCUAGUUGGUGAGGUAAUGGCUCACCAAGGCGACGAUCAGUAGCUGGUCUGAGAGGAUGAUCAGCCACACUGGGACUGAGACACGGCCCAGGCUCCUACGGGAGGCAGCAGUGGGGAAUAUUGGACAAUGGGCGCAAGCCUGAUCCAGCCAUGCCGCGUGAGUGACGAAGGUCUUCGGAUUGUAAAGCUCUUUUGGCGGGGACGAUAAUGACGGUACCCGCAGAAUAAGCCCCGGCUAACUUCGUGCCAGCAGCCGCGGUAAUACGAAGGGGGCUAGCGUUGUUCGGAAUCACUGGGCGUAAAGCGCACGUAGGCGGAUUUGUUAGUCAGGGGUGAAAUCCCGGGGCUCAACCUCGGAACUGCCUCUGAUACUGCAGAUCUCGAGUCCGAUAGAGGUGAGUGGAAUUCCUAGUGUAGAGGUGAAAUUCGUAGAUAUUAGGAAGAACACCAGUGGCGAAGGCGGCUCACUGGAUCGGUACUGACGCUGGGGUGCGAAAGCGUGGGGAGCAAACAGGAUUAGAUACCCUGGUAGUCC